GGGCGACGCGGCCCGGCAUUUUUCUCUAAAUCGGCGGGUACUGAGAAAAUACGUCUCCCUUAGAGUCCCACGGAAAGGUUCUCAGUGCGCUCUCUAUCAAGGGAUCGGUGAAUUUUAACUUUGGAGUCCCCUAUGCUAAGGAUGCUCAGCUUACAGGUGAUGAAAUGUUCAGUAAUGUAUUUGCUGCAGCUCUGCUUACCCAAGCUUUGGGUUCCUUCUGUCCCACUGGGAGUUGCCCAAUUUGGUUGCAUCUGGUGAAAUUCACCCUGAGACCUUACAGAACCAGCUCCAACUACAUGAGAGCCAUUUGCAGUUCUCUCCAGACGCCUGGAGAAUGGGCGACGUUUCUGAGGAUCCGGCGAGCGUGCUUCUGUCAAAACUCAGUCUGUGAAAUUCCUGGGGAAAACCCUUCUGUGUCCUGAAGGGUUCAAACUCUGGUGAGGAUCCAGUUAUCAGGUGCUCACCUGGAUGGUUCCAGCUCCCAAAGGGAAAGACUCUCGUAUCCUUGUCGUCGGGCUCAGUGCUGUCCAAGAAGAUACAGAGACUAAAAAAAUCAUAAGAAGCAAAAUAUGACUGCAGGGAAAAGAAGCUGGAGAGAACAGAAGACUCAUCACGGCGGGACAGCGUGAAGACUGAAAGUGUAAGAAGAUGUGGAGGGAAAGAGAGAAUCUGACAGGAGCAUCGGACGCACGAGUGCAGGAAUUUUGCUUUUUUGCUUGGAUGUAAACUCAGGCGUUGAAAGGAAUUUGGGAGUGAGAAGGGACAUUUCAGAAGGAGAAGAAGCAAAAGAAGUUGUUGUUGUUGUUACAGUCCUGGCAAAAUCUUUUGUUCUAGCUAAUAAAAGAAGUUAGUUUAAAAAACAAAAAGGAAAAAAU
Long non-coding RNA from Melospiza georgiana, 875 nucleotides. RefSeq lists it as uncharacterized. The transcript is spliced from 6 exons. NCBI's taxonomy places the organism in Eukaryota, Metazoa, Chordata, Aves, Passeriformes, Passerellidae. The record is from RefSeq and is a predicted model, not a curated record.